RNAcentral lists this transfer RNA (68 nucleotides) under Graneledone verrucosa. RNAcentral's name for it is "tRNA-Ile". Lineage: Eukaryota; Metazoa; Mollusca; Cephalopoda; Octopoda; Octopodidae. The record is from RNAcentral.
AGUAUAGUGCCGGAAUAAACGGAUUAUAUUGAUGUUAUAAAUUAUAAGAAUAUUAUUCUUCUAUACUU